Long non-coding RNA from Cataglyphis hispanica, 455 nucleotides. RefSeq lists it as uncharacterized. NCBI's taxonomy places the organism in Eukaryota, Metazoa, Arthropoda, Insecta, Hymenoptera, Formicidae. The record is from RefSeq and is a predicted model, not a curated record. The transcript has 3 exons.
GGUGUAUCAAUAUUUGUGCUCAACAGUUAUUACGACUCAAUCGUAAUAAAGGUUGAAAAAAGGUUGGUCGCAACGAUCGUAACGUAUACGAGAUGAUACGAUUAGUAUAGAAUAACCGACAGACAUUUAAUGGAUUACAUUUAAGAAUAUUUAAUAAAUUCAGUAAAAUAUAUAAAUAAACUUGUUUACAUGUGAAAAUAUACUCAAUAUUAGUAAAUAAAUAUACGAUAGGACGGCAAACUAUUUGACAAAGAAGAAACAGAAAUAAGAGAAAUUACAACAAUCUUCACAUAGCUUCUGUCGUUCGAUAUAAAAGAUGCUCACAAAAAAGCGUCAACGGAUCACUCACUGUUUUUUUUUAAAUCACGAUAUAUUAUAACAUAUUGUCCUUAUAUUGUCUACCGAUUAUGAACGCAAGUUUCGAACAUCUGAAAGAACGUAAGUAAGGUCAGGAU